Molecule: ribosomal RNA, 587 nt
Filed under: embryophyte environmental sample
Lineage: Eukaryota; Viridiplantae; Streptophyta
Description: eukaryotic LSU rRNA
Rfam family: 5.8S ribosomal RNA (bases 178-332)
Source: RNAcentral
CGUAACAAGGUUUCCGUAGGUGAACCUGCGGAAGGAUCAUUGUCACUCGUGGCUUCUUCCUUGGCAAAUAAACGAACCCCGGCGCGAAAAGCGUCAAGGAACAUAACUACAUAUGAGCUCACGCCCGCUGCCCGGUUAGCCGGUGCACGGUUGUGGUGCCAUGUCAUAACAUUAAACGACUCUCGGCAACGGAUAUCUCGGCUCUCGCAUCGAUGAAGAACGUAGCGAAAUGCGAUACUUGGUGUGAAUUGCAGAAUCCCGUGAACCAUCGAGUCUUUGAACGCAAGUUGCGCCCGAGGCUUCUGGCCAAGGGCACGUCUGUCUGGGCGUCACGCAUCGCAACCCCCCACAACCACUUCGGUAGUUGAGGGGAGGAGGAUGGUUUCCCGUGCCUCACCGGGCGCGGUUGGCCUAAAUAAGGAGCCUAAGGCAUCGGGUUGCCGCGGCGAUAGGUGGAGUACAAGGUCUCGGCCGUGGAAUCAACCGGUCGCGCAACCCUUUGAAUGUAAAGCUCGAAGGACCCAUUGUUGUCGCUUUGUUGCGUCACAAACGUUGCGACCCCAGGUCAGGCGGGGCUACCCGCUGAA